CUUUAUUCUGUCAGGCGUUGACAUGUUUUUCCACAGCUUGCUUUAGGUUAUAUGUUAUAUAUUAAAAGUAUUUAAGGUACUUGGAGAGUUGUAUUAUUAUUAUUUCCUUCCAGUUUUUAGUCCCGAACUUCCAGAAAGGUUGUGAAUGGACUUUACACAGAAAAGAGUUGAACAUUGUGUUGUAUAACGUACAUGGUGGUUUGUUUUUUUGGUUUGGGGACCAGAUCCCUAAAUUGUGAUGCUAGUUAGUUCUAUUUGCCACUGUCCCAAGGUGCUUUUUCCUUGUAAAGCAGCAUUUAUGUAUAGCCUUGAUUACUCAUUGCAGGUCACUCUUAAAUCUUAACGAGGAAACUUCUGUCUAGGAGCUAAAUUUUCUUAGGCCUACAGGUUAAAUAUCAAGAGUUGAAUGUCUGGAGUUGGGAAAAUGAAACCAAACUUCGGUGUUAUUGCCAACACUUCC
This 460-nucleotide long non-coding RNA is filed under the name Bos taurus (domestic cattle). RNAcentral's name for it is "long non-coding RNA NONBTAT005985". The record is from RNAcentral. Lineage: Eukaryota; Metazoa; Chordata; Mammalia; Artiodactyla; Bovidae.